RNAcentral lists this transfer RNA (80 nucleotides) under Nematostella vectensis (starlet sea anemone). It matches the Rfam family "tRNA". Rfam says of the family: Transfer RNA (tRNA) molecules are approximately 80 nucleotides in length. Their secondary structure includes four short double-helical elements and three loops (D, anti-codon, and T loops). Further hydrogen bonds mediate the characteristic L-shaped molecular structure. tRNAs have two regions of fundamental functional importance: the anti-codon, which is responsible for specific mRNA codon recognition, and the 3' end, to which the tRNAs corresponding amino acid is attached (by aminoacyl-tRNA synthetases). tRNAs cope with the degeneracy of the genetic code in two manners: having more than one tRNA (with a specific anti-codon) for a particular amino acid; and 'wobble' base-pairing, i.e. permitting non-standard base-pairing at the 3rd anti-codon position. The record is from Rfam by way of RNAcentral. Lineage: Eukaryota; Metazoa; Cnidaria; Anthozoa; Actiniaria; Edwardsiidae.
GUUGCGGUGGCCGAGUGGUUAAGGCGUUGGACUUGAAAUCCAAUGGGAUCUUCCCGCGCAGGUUCGAAUCCAGCACAACG